RNAcentral lists this ribosomal RNA (253 nucleotides) under uncultured bacterium. RNAcentral's name for it is "partial 16S ribosomal RNA". It matches the Rfam family "Bacterial small subunit ribosomal RNA", at positions 524 to 776 of the family's 1533-position model. The record is from RNAcentral.
UACGGAGGGAGCUAGCGUUGUUCGGAAUUACUGGGCGUAAAGCGCACGUAGGCGGCUUUGUAAGUUAGAGGUGAAAGCCCGGAGCUUAACUCCGGAACUGCCUUUAAGACUGCAUCGCUUGAAUCAUGGAGAGGUUAGUGGAAUUCCGAGUGUAGAGGUGAAAUUCGUAGAUAUUCGGAAGAACACCAGUGGCGAAGGCGACUAACUGGACAUGUAUUGACGCUGAGGUGCGAAAGCGUGGGGAGCAAACAGG